UUCCUACGGGGGGCAGCAGUGAGGAAUAUUGGUCAAUGGUCGGGAGACUGAACCAGCCAAGCCGCGUGAGGGAGGAAGGUACAGAGUAUCGUAAACCUCUUUUGUCGGAGAACAAAACCCGGGACGUGUCCCGGACUGCGUGUAUCCGAAGAAAAAGCAUCGGCUAACUCCGUGCCAGCAGCCGCGGUAAUACGGAGGAUGCGAGCGUUAUCCGGAUUUAUUGGGUUUAAAGGGUGCGUAGGCGGUCCGUUAAGUCAGCGGUAAAAUUGCGGGGCUCAACCCCGUCGAGCCGUUGAAACUGGCAG
RNAcentral lists this ribosomal RNA (305 nucleotides) under uncultured bacterium. Its description in RNAcentral is "bacterial SSU rRNA". It matches the Rfam family "Bacterial small subunit ribosomal RNA", at positions 336 to 639 of the family's 1533-position model. The record is from RNAcentral.